GAGGUAAGCCAACGCAUGGCGAGGCAUCAAAAUCAUGAAUAAGUGUGCUCGGUUUAGUUUGCCAUGGCAUACCAUGAUUUUGUAUGAAAUUAUUAUCAAUGGUCUUAAGCCCAACAAGGUUGGCACUCAACCUAUUAUUCUGGCUAGCAGUUGGGUCCAUACUAGCCGGCUUACCAUAUGGCCCAAAAUCAUGGCCUGAAGUAUGUGGCCUAAACACACUAUAAUAGCCAAAAG
RNAcentral lists this long non-coding RNA (234 nucleotides) under Gossypium barbadense (sea-island cotton). Its description in RNAcentral is "long non-coding RNA (GBAR_LNC004983)". The record is from RNAcentral. Lineage: Eukaryota; Viridiplantae; Streptophyta; Magnoliopsida; Malvales; Malvaceae.